Molecule: RNase P RNA, 351 nt
Filed under: Mesorhizobium sp.
Lineage: Bacteria; Pseudomonadati; Pseudomonadota; Alphaproteobacteria; Hyphomicrobiales; Phyllobacteriaceae
Description: RNase P RNA component class A
Rfam family: Bacterial RNase P class A
About the family: Ribonuclease P (RNase P) is a ubiquitous endoribonuclease, found in archaea, bacteria and eukarya as well as chloroplasts and mitochondria. Its best characterised activity is the generation of mature 5'-ends of tRNAs by cleaving the 5'-leader elements of precursor-tRNAs.
Source: RNAcentral
CCAGCUGGCCGGGCGGCCGCACCCGCGAAGCCGAAAGGCUGCGGGUGAGGAAAGUCCGGGCUCCAUGGAGACACGGUGCCGGUUAAUGNNNNNNNNNNGUGGUAAGGGUGAAAGGGUGGGGUAAGAGCCCACCGCGCGACUGGCAACAGGAGCGGCACGGUAAACCCCACCGGGAGCAAGACCGAAUAGGGGCGGUGUGAGGGGAAACCCUCGAGGGCUGUUUCCGGCUCACCGCCCGGGUAGGUUGCGUGAGGCGCAUGGCAACAUGCGCCCAAGAUGAAUGGCCGCCACGUUCUCGCGCCGCAAGGGGCGAGGGCCAUACAGAACCCGGCUUACAGGCCAGCUGGCAAU